GAAAGAUAGAGAUGGCAGCGGCGGAUUCUCCAAACGCCAACACUGAUACCAAAUUUGUAGGGACCAAUCAGAAUCCUAACCCUAAUUCUUCAAAUGCGUUAGUUCCCGAGUCUUGAGUCUAGCUCUCCUGCUGUUUGCCUCUUCCGCUUCGCAGGCGACUCCGCUGGUGGCGCCUUUAUGGGCUCCAUCUUCGGCUACGGUUCUGGAUUGAUUAAAAAGAAAG
Molecule: unclassified non-coding RNA, 223 nt
Filed under: Hevea brasiliensis (rubber tree)
Lineage: Eukaryota; Viridiplantae; Streptophyta; Magnoliopsida; Malpighiales; Euphorbiaceae
Source: RNAcentral